This 330-nucleotide ribosomal RNA is filed under the name uncultured bacterium. RNAcentral's name for it is "bacterial SSU rRNA". It matches the Rfam family "Bacterial small subunit ribosomal RNA", at positions 568 to 898 of the family's 1533-position model. The record is from RNAcentral.
UGUGUAGGCGGUUUGGUAAGUCUGGUGUGAAAUCUCCCGGCUCAACUGGGAGGGUGCGCCGGAAACUGCCGGACUCGAGUGCGGGAGAGGAGAGUGGAAUUCCUGGUGUAGCGGUGAAAUGCGUAGAUAUCAGGAGGAACACCGGUGGUGUAGACGGCUCUCUGGACCGUAACUGACGCUGAAACACGAAAGCGUGGGUAGCAAACAGGAUUAGAUACCCUGGUAGUCCACGCCCUAAACGAUGACAUAUUUGGUGUGGGUCAUUCAGUUGAUCCGUGCCGGAGCUAACGCGUUAAAUAUGCCGCCUGGGAGUACAGUCGCAAGGCUGAA